RNAcentral lists this non-coding RNA (22 nucleotides) under Arabidopsis thaliana (thale cress). The record is from RNAcentral. Lineage: Eukaryota; Viridiplantae; Streptophyta; Magnoliopsida; Brassicales; Brassicaceae.
CAUGACGACGAUGCUCUGUUAC